CGACGCAUCGCGGGAGAGCCGGAGUCAUCCGGCACCGAAGGAGCAAGCCUCCCCGCCAAUCUCUCAGGUCACCACACCGCGAUGACGAG
RNAcentral lists this non-coding RNA (89 nucleotides) under Agromyces sp. RNAcentral describes it as "Glycine sequence". It matches the Rfam family "Glycine riboswitch aptamer". Rfam says of the family: This family represents the bacterial glycine riboswitch. The record is from RNAcentral. Lineage: Bacteria; Bacillati; Actinomycetota; Actinomycetes; Micrococcales; Microbacteriaceae.